AAAAGAAAUUCGGUGCAGGAUGAGUCUGCGUCUGAUUAGCUAGUUGGAGGGGUAAGAGCCCACCAAGGCAACGAUCAGUAGCCGGCCUGAGAGGGCGACCGGCCACAUUGGGACUGAGACACGGCCCAAACUCCUACGGGAGGCAGCAGUGGGGAAUAUUGCACAAUGGGGGAAACCCUGAUGCAGCGACGCCGCGUGAGCGAGGAAGUAUUUCGGUAUGUAAAGCUCUAUCAGCAGGGACGAAAAAAGACGGUACCUGACUAAGAAGCCCCGGCUAACUACGUGCCAGCAGCCGCGGUAAUACGUAGGGGGCAAGCGUUAUCCGGAUUUACUGGGUGUAAAGGGAGCGUAGACGGCAAGGCAAGCCAGAAGUGAAAGGGCAGGGCUCAACCCUGUACAUGCUUUUGGAACUGUGGUGCUAGGGUGCAGGAGAGGUAAGUGGAAUUCCUAGUGUAGCGGUGAAAUGCGUAGAUAUUAGGAGGAACACCAGUGGCGAAGGCGGCUUACUGGACUGUAACUGACGUUGAGGCUCGAAAGCGUGGGGAGCAAACAGGAUUAGAUACCCUGGUAGUCCACGCUGUAAACGAUGAAUACUAGGUGUUGGGGGCUGAAGCCUUCG
This 619-nucleotide ribosomal RNA is filed under the name uncultured bacterium. RNAcentral describes it as "bacterial SSU rRNA". It matches the Rfam family "Bacterial small subunit ribosomal RNA", at positions 202 to 842 of the family's 1533-position model. The record is from RNAcentral.